RNAcentral lists this ribosomal RNA (519 nucleotides) under uncultured eukaryote. Its description in RNAcentral is "bacterial SSU rRNA". It matches the Rfam family "Eukaryotic small subunit ribosomal RNA", at positions 1161 to 1645 of the family's 1831-position model. The record is from RNAcentral.
AGGGCACCACCAGGAGUGGAGCCUGCGGCUUAAUUUGACUCAACACGGGAAAACUUACCCGGCCCGGGCACUGGAAGGAUUGACAGAUUGAGAGCUCUUUCUUGAUUCAGUGGGUGGUGGUGCAUGGCCGUUCUUAGUUGGUGGAGCGAUUUGUCUGGUUAAUUCCGAUAACGAACGAGACUCUGGCCUACUAAAUAGACUGUUCAGCUUUAUAGCCGGAAUCACCGGGUGCGUAGCUUUCGGGUUGCGUAUUCGGUUCUGGUGACGCUGGCAGUGCUUCUUAGAGGGACAGGCGGCGGUUCAGCCGCACGAAACAAAGCAAUAACAGGUCUGUGAUGCCCUUAGAUGUCCGGGGCUGCACGCGCGCUACACUGAAGUGAUCAGCGUGCAAUUUACGUUUGGUGAUCUGUCAAGAUUGCCCAACCCGUUGAACCUUCUUCGUGAUUGGGAUAGAGGAUUGUAAUUAUUCCCCUUGAACGAGGAAUUCCCAGUAAGCGCAGGUCAUAAGCUUGCGUUGAU